GCUAGCUUCAGCAGACAUAUAUUGAAAUUGGAACGACAUAGAGAAGAGUAGCAUAGCCCCUGGGCAAGGUUGAUGUGCAAAUUUGGGAAGGAUUUCACAUGUUU
Molecule: small nuclear RNA, 104 nt
Organism: Equus asinus (donkey)
Lineage: Eukaryota; Metazoa; Chordata; Mammalia; Perissodactyla; Equidae
Source: Ensembl